Molecule: small nucleolar RNA, 102 nt
Organism: Peromyscus californicus insignis
Lineage: Eukaryota; Metazoa; Chordata; Mammalia; Rodentia; Cricetidae
Product: small nucleolar RNA SNORA17
Exons: 1
Source: RefSeq, a predicted model, not a curated record
AGUGCUGAGACAGAGGACUUCAGGAGUGAGCACAGAGCAGAAGGGAAGGAGCUGGAAGUAGGGUUCAGAGCCCUGAGCUUUUAUCUUAGUCUUCCCUACCAA